Molecule: ribosomal RNA, 1030 nt
Filed under: uncultured organism
Description: bacterial SSU rRNA
Rfam family: Bacterial small subunit ribosomal RNA
Source: RNAcentral
AGUGGCGAAAGGGCGAGGAAUACAUGGAUAACGUGCCUUUGGCAUGGGGACAGCUGAGGGAAACUUCAGGUAAUACCCAAUGAGACCACAGUGCUUUCGGGCACAGGGGUCAAAGAUGGGGCUCCUUCGGGACCUAUCGGCCAUAGAGCGGUCCAUGUCCUAUCAGCUUGUUGGUGAGGUAAUGGCUCACCAAGGCGACGACGGGUACCGGGACUGAGAGGUUGACCCGGCGCAUCGGGACUGAGACACUGCCCGGACUCCUACGGGAGGCUGCAGUAACGAAUAUUGGUCAAUGGGCGAAAGCCUGAACCAGCGACGCCGCGUGUGGGAGGAAGCCCUUCGGGGUGUAAACCACUGUCAGGGAUUACCAAGCAAUGGAGGCUAAUACCCUCCUGCGUUGAGGCGUCCCAGAGGAAGUCACGGCUAACUUCGUGCCAGCAGCCGCGGUAAUACGAAGGUGGCGAGCGUUGUUCGGAAUCACUGGGCUUAAAGAGCACGUAGGCGGACUGCCAAGCGUCUUGUGAAAUCCCCCGGCUCAACCGGGGAAUUGCUGGGCGAACUGGUAGUCUUGAGGCAAGUAGGGGCAGAUGGAACUCUUGGUGGAGCGGUGGAAUGCGUAGAUAUCAAGAGGAACGCCAGAGGCGAAGGCGAUCUGCUGGGCUUGACCUGACGCUGAGGUGCGAAAGCCAGGGGAGCAAACGGGAUUAGAUACCCCGGUAGUCCUGGCCAUAAACGAUGUCCACUAGAUCGGUGAACUUCUGACAGUGUGCCGGUCGAAACAAAAGCGUUAAGUGGACCGCCUGGGGAGUACGGUCGCAAGGCUAAAACUCAAAGGAAUUGACGGGGGCUCACACAAGCGGUGGAGCAUGUUGCUUAAUUCGAUGCAACGCGAAGAACCUUAUCCUGGGCUUGACAUGCUUGGAUGCCCAUCUGGAAACAGAGUAGGCUGCCCUUCGGGGUGAAACUUGCACAGGUGCUGCAUGGCUGUCGUCAGCUCGUGUCGUGAGAUGUUGGGUUAAGUCCCGUAACG